This is a long non-coding RNA of Cucumis sativus (cucumber), 1055 nucleotides long. RefSeq lists it as uncharacterized. Lineage: Eukaryota; Viridiplantae; Streptophyta; Magnoliopsida; Cucurbitales; Cucurbitaceae. The transcript has 5 exons. The record is from RefSeq and is a predicted model, not a curated record.
GCAUUGUCAUCAGUGGGUGAUGGUAAUGAAUACCUUAAAUCCUUGCAAUUAGUGCUUGCUGCUGAAACAACCUUGCUUGUUCCUCGAUGCAUCACUUUGGCAUGGAUGAACCUCCUUGAAAACUUCUCCUCGAGAUCUUCGUGUCCAGGCUGCUGCUUUAAUCAAAAACUUCUGCAAAAUGAAAGGAAGAUAGAGAAAUGCAUGGCUAACUGAAAGAGGAGUAGAAGAGAGAAAACAUACUGUAUUGUGAGUUGAAAGAGAAGGUGCUUUAAUGGCGUCGAAGGAGAUGGAGAGCUUGGAAAAAGAAGAUGACCAUGAACUAGAAGUGGGUUUGUGAAGGAAACUGGAGACUAAUGUGGCUGCCGAUGACGAUGACUCGGGAAUUGACGUGCUUAACAACAUUUUUCACUUUCCUCUCAAGGAUUCGCUGCAACUUCCCUUCUGAAAGCUGCAAACUACGGCAAACCAUUAGGUAAUGAGGGUGUCUAAAGGCUGAAACCCAUGUCCAAGUGUUGCCUUCCAAACUCGAUCGAUAUCGGACAUUCCAUAGCCACAUUCGUGCUCUGUCCACCCCUCCAUUGCAUGCACCACACCAGCAAUGCGCCAUGCGCUCAUCACUCGCCUCGGUAACCAAUUCUGCAACCAAUGAAAUUAAAGUUCAUUUUGGCCCUACCUAUACUUAGUAUUAAAUAUAUAUAUAUAUAUAUAGUUUGAUCAUUUAAUGUAAAGUAGUGUAUUUGAAAAUUUGUUGUGAGUGGUGUUUUUUACCUCACAAGAAUGCAUGUUUUCAAGGGAAGGAGGAGCUUUCAUUGCAGGAGUGCAGUGGUAAAAGCAAUCUUUCCGUACAAUCUUUGGAGGGAAUUGAGAGAAUGGGAUGAAAGUUGUGCCUUUUGGAGCCUUCAGCUGUUCUUCAUCUCUUUUCAAGUUGGUUGCUUUCAACAAUAAAUGUACUACCAUAGAUCCACGUCAGCAGCAUGGUGAUUGGGGACAGCAAGCAGAGAUACCACGUGGAGUUGUGGGGCCUGGAUGCCAGCUCUGCAAAUCCCAGCCGUAGA